UUUCAGUGCACAGAACAUUUGUCCCUGACAGUCAUCUGAAGAUCUGGGUUCAAGGCCAGUAGGAAGCCAUACUUGGGAGAAGAAAGCAGGAGACAGAAAGGUGGCUGGCCCAGAUUGAAGAAAGAGAGAGCACUGCAGUGAAUCACAUCAAAGGCGAGCCAGCGUGGGAUCAGGGAAACCUGUGCAGGAUUGACAAAACAGCAUUUUAAACAGAGGAAAUUUAACAGAAGGAAUUGGUAAUAAACAUGUAAGAAAGACUG
Fukomys damarensis (Damara mole-rat) is the source of this 260-nucleotide long non-coding RNA. RefSeq lists it as uncharacterized. The record is from RefSeq and is a predicted model, not a curated record. NCBI's taxonomy places the organism in Eukaryota, Metazoa, Chordata, Mammalia, Rodentia, Bathyergidae. The transcript is spliced from 3 exons.